GACGAACGCUGGCGGCGUGCUUAACACAUGCAAGUCGAGGGGGCGUUGGGGCGAACCCUGGCGUCACCGGCGAACGGGUGAGUAACACGUGGGUGACCUGCCCUCCCACUCUGGGAGUAAGCCUGGGAAACUGGGCCUAAUAUCGGAUAUGACUACAUGUUGCAUGGUGUGUGGUGGAAAGCCAGUUACAUUUGUUUCUGGCGGUGGGGGAUGGG
RNAcentral lists this ribosomal RNA (215 nucleotides) under uncultured bacterium. Its description in RNAcentral is "partial 16S ribosomal RNA". It matches the Rfam family "Bacterial small subunit ribosomal RNA", at positions 28 to 229 of the family's 1533-position model. The record is from RNAcentral.